GAUGAACGCUGGCGGCGUGCCUAAUACAUGCAAGUCGAGCGAACGGACGAGAAGCUUGCUUCUCUGAUGUUGGCGGCGGACGGGUGAGUAACACGUGGAUAACCUACCUAUAAGACUGGGAUAACUUCGGGAAACCGGAGCUAAUACCGGAUAAUAUUUUGAACCGCAUGGUUCAAAAGUGAAAGACGGUCUUGCUGUCACUUAUAGAUGGAUCCGCGCUGCAUUAGCUAGUUGGUAAGGUAACGGCUUACCAAGGCAACGAUGCAUAGCCGACCUGAGAGGGUGAUCGGCCACACUGGAACUGAGACACGGUCCAGACUCCUACGGGAGGCAGCAGUAGGGAAUCUUCCGCAAUGGGCGAAAGCCUGACGGAGCAACGCCGCGUGAGUGAUGAAGGUCUUCGGAUCGUAAAACUCUGUUAUUAGGGAAGAACAUAUGUGUAAGUAACUGUGCACAUCUUGACGGUACCUAAUCAGAAAGCCACGGCUAACUACGCG
Molecule: ribosomal RNA, 497 nt
Filed under: uncultured bacterium
Lineage: Bacteria
Description: partial 16S ribosomal RNA
Rfam family: Bacterial small subunit ribosomal RNA
Source: RNAcentral